UACGUAGGGAGCAAGCGUUGUCCGGAAUUACUGGGCGUAAAGGGCGAGUAGGCGGCACGACAAGUAGGGUGUGAAAGCCCCCGGCUUAACCGGGGAGGGUCAUUCUAAACUGUCGAGCUAGAGUGCAGUAGAGGCUAAUAGAAUUCCCGGUGUAGUGGUGAAAUGCGUAGAUAUCGGGAGGAAUACCAGUGGCGAAGGCGAUUAGCUGGACUGUAACAGACGCUGAGGCGCGAAGGCUAGGGUAGCAAACAG
RNAcentral lists this ribosomal RNA (252 nucleotides) under uncultured bacterium. RNAcentral describes it as "partial 16S ribosomal RNA". It matches the Rfam family "Bacterial small subunit ribosomal RNA", at positions 524 to 775 of the family's 1533-position model. The record is from RNAcentral.